This 755-nucleotide long non-coding RNA is filed under the name Gallus gallus (chicken). The record is from RNAcentral. Lineage: Eukaryota; Metazoa; Chordata; Aves; Galliformes; Phasianidae.
UUCAAUCCUUCUUCUCAGUAUUUCAUGGUCUUUUCCAAGGCCUCCUGUUAAAAUCAGAGAGAAAAAAAAAAAGAAUAAAUGCAUCAGCAAUUGUUAAGAAACCAAAACAUUUGUGACAUGGAAUACCAAAAAAAUGUUUAGAAGAAAACUCAUCUACUAACCAUCUCCUGUCUGCUUCUUAUAGUUUUCUAUCUGUUCUUUGGCCUUUAAAAGUUGCUCCUCUAAAGCAUGUACUUUUCCUGCAGCUGGUCCCUGAUCAAUGGGUCCAUCUGGUAUCCUGAGAGAUUCUGCCAUCCGCCUUAAGUCUUCAUUUUGUUGCUUUAAACGUUCAAGUUUAGCAAGUAUCUUGGACAAUUCACGACUAGAAUGAUCUGGGUGCUCACUGUCUCGUACCAGGUGUCCACCAAUAUAGAAGAGUAAAGUUCCCCACGCAAAGAGGAUGAGCAUAAUCCAACGCCAGGAACCAGUCCAUGGCCGCAUUUUCAGAUGCUCAGUUCACUCCAGAACUGUUUCUGUUCACAAAGCAACACACAUUUUAAGUCCUUAGCCUGUACAGAAGUGGACAAUUUCAGUUCCUCCACUUCACCACAUUGUACUGAAGAAAAAUUAUUCUGUGUUUGUUUCACUGCAACUCCUUAGUGAAGAUCCUUAUGGAGUUGAACACAGAGAGAAUUAACAUUGUAUUGUUCUUGGAUUAUAUUUUUUCUCUCUUGGACUUCCUCUGCCUGAUGCAUCCCAGGACUGGGUUUGUUUUU